CCUACGGGGGGCUGCAGUGGGGAAUUUUGGACAAUGGGGGCAACCCUGAUCCAGCCAUUCCGCGUGAGUGAAGAAGGCCUUCGGGUUGUAAAGCUCUUUUGUCCGGAGCGAAACGGGCGGCCCUAAUACGGUCGUCUACUGACGGUACCGGAAGAAUAAGCACCGGCUAACUACGUGCCAGCAGCCGCGGUAAUACGUAGGGUGCUAGUGUUAAUCGGGAUUGCUGGGCGUGUUUCGUGCGCAGGCGGUUGAAUCCCCGGGCUCAGACUGGGAAUGGCAUUUGGGACUGCAAGGCUGGAGUGUGGCAGAGGGGACUAGAAUUCCUGGUGUAGCAGUGAAAUGCGUAGAUAUCAGGAGGAAUACCGAUGGCGAAGGCAGGUCCCUGGGUUAACACUGACGCUCAUGCACGAAAGCGUGGGGAGCAAACAGGAUUAGAUACCCCAGUAGUC
This 449-nucleotide ribosomal RNA is filed under the name uncultured bacterium. Its description in RNAcentral is "partial 16S ribosomal RNA". It matches the Rfam family "Bacterial small subunit ribosomal RNA", at positions 338 to 795 of the family's 1533-position model. The record is from RNAcentral.